Molecule: RNA transcript, 1909 nt
Organism: Rhododendron vialii
Lineage: Eukaryota; Viridiplantae; Streptophyta; Magnoliopsida; Ericales; Ericaceae
Gene name: protein ANTAGONIST OF LIKE HETEROCHROMATIN PROTEIN 1
Exons: 3
Source: RefSeq, a predicted model, not a curated record
UAAUUGGAGAUAAACAUCUAAAAAUCAUUUUUCUGAAAAUUAAUUUUGUAAAAGUUGGUUUGGAAGCCCUCGAUCUCACUAAAAUUGCAAUCUGGCACCGUAAACUUCACUUUCUUUCCUGCAAAAGAAACUGAUGCGAAAGAAAUUUUCCCACCAAACGAACGAGCUGAGAAUCUGUCUUGUGCUCAAUGCCUCCUCUGAAGAAGAUAAAGAAAUCGAAACGGGAUGCCAAGAAACUGAAGAAACGGAGAAGCGUAAGCGUAGUUCCCACUGACAGUAAAGCAGCCAAUGACUCCGACUGGUGGGAUAGUUUUUGGCACAAGAACUCUCCAACCUUAGAGUCACCAGUACCUUUUGAUGAGGCAGAAGGAUUCAAAUAUUUCUUUCGCAUAUCGAAGAAAACAUUUGAUUACAUAUGUUCACUUGUCCGAGAAGAUCUUAUUUCGAGACCGCCUUCUGGUCUCAUCAACAUUGAGGGGAGGCUGCUCAGUGUUGAGAAACAAGUUGCUAUUGCCCUACGAAGGUUGGCCUCUGGGGAGUCCCAAGUUUCAGUGGGAGCCUCCUUUGGAGUUGGCCAGUCCACAGUAUCCCAGGUAACUUGGCGAUUCAUUGAAGCGUUAGAAGAGCGUGCCAAGCACCAUCUCAAGUGGCCUGAUCCUGUUAGAAUGGAGGAAAUUAAGUCCAAAUUUAAGGCAUCUUUUGGAUUGCCCAGUUGUUGUGGGGCCAUAGAUGCAACCCAUAUUGUCAUGACCCUUCCAGCAGUUGAAACUUCAGAUGACUGGUGUGACCAGGAGAAAAACUACAGCAUGUUUUUGCAAGGAAUAGUUGAUGGUGAUAUGAGAUUUCUUGAUAUUGUGACUGGUUGGCCUGGGGGUAUGCCUAUUUCUAGACUACUGAAGUUUUCGGGAUUUUACAAACUCUGUGAUGGUGGCCAUCGCUUGAAUGGAAAUGCAAUAACGACUCCCGACGGAGCACAGAUUAAAGAAUAUAUUGUGGGUGGAGUUAAUUACCCUCUUCUUCCAUGGCUCAUUACACCUUAUGAAAGUGGUGACGUCUCAACCGAGGUAUCGGAUUUCAAUAGAAUGCAUGAGGCUGCUAGGUCGCUUGCAGUGAAAGCAUUGUCACAGUUAAAGGGAAGUUGGAGAAUCCUUAGUAAGGUUAUGUGGAGACCAGAUAAGCAGAAAUUGCCGAGUGUUAUCUUGGUCUGUUGUUUACUUCACAAUAUUAUUAUCGACAGUGGAGACAAUUUACGUGCAGAUGUUGCCUUAUCUGGUCACCAUGAUUCGGGCUAUGUCGAACAGUGCUGUAAGCAAGUUGAUCCAUUGGGGAAAACCAAGAGGGAAGACUUGGUUAAACACUUGCAGCUUAGCAAACAGAAUGCUCUGCCCAAUUAGUUUGCUUCCCAUUGGACUUUCAAGGCCAAUUGCGGUCAUUUUGGUCUAGCUUAGUUUUCAGUCAGAUCAUCGUUCUUCAACUGUAAUAUAAACUGUGCUUUCAUGUUGGAUUUGAUGAAAUUUGAAAAAGUCGCUAGUCUUGGUUUUGUUGACAAUGUGACAGAGAAGCCCUAGCAAAACAGUUAGAUCCUCAAGAGUUGAUGCAGGAGCUGUAUCUGGUGUUUUUGUCCAAAAGACCAAGAACCGAUAUUCUAUUCCCAGAUGCCUGCUCCCGAUAAACAGGAGUCUAUGUCAGGUGCUGGCACAGGAAACAAUCUGCAGUUCGUAUAGAGGCGUGGUCUUUGUUCUUUUCAGGAGACAAUUGCCAGGCCUAUGUUAAUUUGGCCAACCUAUUUCCCUUGGUUUUUGAUACACUCCUGUAACCUUUGAUUGUGGAGCUAAUAUUCCUGAACUGGGGUUUUGGAAGAAUUGGGAUUGGUUUGGUAAUUUACACUGAUAUUGCCCUACUGCCAAAA